AAAAAAAAAAAAAAGAAAAAGAGUAAAUGGUGCAUGUGUUUCAUACUGAAUAUGCAUUACUCAUUGGAGAUUUAAUAUCUACAAAUGUGAAAUUAGAAUGAUUUUAUUUUCCCCUUGGCUAUAUCUACUUCGUAUAAAGAAACACAAUUCAAUGGCAUAUCCAAGGUCAAAGCCCAAUGUGUUACAAAACUAAUACAAUAAAAACUAAUUAAUUGCAAAUGCAAAAGGUCCAAACUCAGAAAUUUUUAUAUUCCAACAAUCACUAUCACACACAUUUUUCCUACUAGGAAGACUGCUUGUUUCCUACUAGGGAGGCUCCUAGUUCGUUUUUAGAUGACUUCCAUUUUAACCAUACGAUUAUUAUCCAAAACUAGAAAAUUAGUCACUUGAAAGCAACCCAAUCAUAGUCAUCUGUAAACUUUACUAAAUUGGUUACCAAAAUGAAAG
This 447-nucleotide unclassified non-coding RNA is filed under the name Hevea brasiliensis (rubber tree). Lineage: Eukaryota; Viridiplantae; Streptophyta; Magnoliopsida; Malpighiales; Euphorbiaceae. The record is from RNAcentral.